RNAcentral lists this ribosomal RNA (484 nucleotides) under uncultured bacterium. Its description in RNAcentral is "partial 16S ribosomal RNA". It matches the Rfam family "Bacterial small subunit ribosomal RNA", at positions 30 to 507 of the family's 1533-position model. The record is from RNAcentral.
AUUGAACGCUGGCGGCAGGCCUAACACAUGCAAGUCGAGCGGAUGAAGGGAGCUUGCUCCUGGAUUCAGCGGCGGACGGGUGAGUAAUACCUAGGAAUCUGCCUGGUAGUGGGGGAUAACGUCCGGAAACGGGCGCUAAUACCGCAUACGUCCUGAGGGAGAAAGUGGGGGAGCUUCGGACCUCACGCUAUCAGAUGAGCCUAGGUCGGAUUAGCUAGUUGGUGGGGUAAAGGCCUACCAAGGCGACGAUCCGUAACUGGUCUGAGAGGAUGAUCAGUCACACUGGAACUGAGACACGGUCCAGACUCCUACGGGAGGCAGCAGUGGGGAAUAUUGGACAAUGGGCGAAAGCCUGAUCCAGCCAUGCCGCGUGUGUGAAGAAGGUCUUCGGAUUGUAAAGCACUUUAAGUUGGGAGGAAGGGCAGUAAGUUAAUACCUUGCUGUUUUGACGUUACCAACAGAAUAAGCACCGGCUAACUUCGUG